UCACAAAACGUGUGAACCUACUCGUAUUUGAGAUGCAUUGACAGUAUAUAUAUAUAUAUGUAUGUAUGUAUAUAUAUAUAUAUAUGUACAUUAUUCAUUCACUGUGACAUUACAACAAGCCGAGUAGCGAAGAGCGAAGUUUGCAUUACAGGCUGUAAUUGACAGCAGACAACCGGCCGUAGAACAUUUUCAUUAGUUGGUGUUGUGGACUGUUAUAGUUUGAAGUUAUUAGUAAACCAAAUUAAGAAAAGGAAAGAUGAAGGAUGGAAGACUUAUUCAAGUCAAGAUCUGUAACUGGGAAUAAAGUGGAAUGAUAAUCAAUUGCAGGUCUAAUGCGGAAUAUGUCUUCAAAAGGAUUCUCCAGGCUUCAUUAUUUGAUGAUUACUUUAAAAAACAGUUGGACCGGCAGAAAUGGCAGGAAUAUAUUCGGCUAUGGAUUUUAAAACAAUAUUCUAUCUAGAAACAUCCGUUCAAGUACUGCAGUGUGUAUAAUAUGAUCCCUUGUCUACCCCUCGUCAAAAGAAACCCGUGAGUCAGACAGUGGAUUCCAGGCUGAACCAGUGGUCCUAAGUGUUCACACCCUAAAAAGAAGGACGAGUAUGAUGCCGAGUUCCGAAGGAUGUCUAGGUCGGCGUCAUGGGUGUUUACGCGGUACGGACGAAUGAUUAUCGCCAGCUUUAAGAGAUUCCGCGGUCGGCGUCAACUGCAACCCGGCAAACGUAGAAUAUGAUGGAGUUGUGCUACACGGGUCGUAAUGACACCUGUCAUUGACACCACCCUUCCUAGCAACAUCACUGAUGAGGCUCUUAUCGAGGCUGCCGAUAGUCAUAGCUGAGAUGAAUUCCAGCGUAGGGGCUGUCAGGGAAGUGGCAGCUCAUCUUAGCGCAUCGGACACGUUGUCGCUAAACAAUUCCUGGGAUUUCCGUCGGAACCCGUUGACCCAAAUACAAUCCACAGAGGAUCUAUCGGAUUUCUACAGGCGACUUGGGGAUACCCAACCUACGGUCUCUCCCAUAAGUAUUGGUUCCUUCCACUCGGGCCUGUCACCCAUCCUCUUAUCCAGGGGGUCACAAUUCACCGUUGAAGCGGAACCGAUACCUCUCAGCUCUCACCACUUAUAAUCCCGAAUGGCAUUCCAGGGAAUCGGUGAGGGUUCUUGAGACGGUCCGUCUCGUUGCGAGUGAUGUGGUGAACACCACUAACCAAGCACUCGGAGCCGGUGACGUAUUACUCACCGUCGCCCCGUCCGCUUGGAAGGUAGUCACACGCCUUCUGCGUGACGUCCUACUCACGACCGCCACCAGGAUGGAGGAAGCUAGGCAGCGGAACGCACCUGACGUUUUCCGGCUUGGUUCCAGCGGCUGGUAUCAUGACCUAUUGCUACUUGUGUGGUGUUGGCACAGAAUGUCAGUGUAUAUAAUGUUUGUUAAUAUGUUUGAACAUAUUAAAUUAGUGUUUUACUAAAA
Homalodisca vitripennis (glassy-winged sharpshooter) is the source of this 1466-nucleotide RNA transcript. RefSeq lists it as uncharacterized. The transcript is spliced from 10 exons. NCBI's taxonomy places the organism in Eukaryota, Metazoa, Arthropoda, Insecta, Hemiptera, Cicadellidae. The record is from RefSeq and is a predicted model, not a curated record.